Molecule: ribosomal RNA, 331 nt
Filed under: Henosepilachna tonkinensis
Lineage: Eukaryota; Metazoa; Arthropoda; Insecta; Coleoptera; Coccinellidae
Description: partial 16S ribosomal RNA
Rfam family: Bacterial large subunit ribosomal RNA (bases 194-331)
Source: RNAcentral
UUUAAUUUAAAGACGAGAAGACCCUAUAGAGUUUAACUAAAAAUUAAUUUAAAAAUUUUAGAAUUUUAUUUUUAUAAUUUAAUUUAAGUUAUGUUGGGGUGACAAAAAAAUUAAAUAAACUUUUUUUAUAUUAAAACAAUUUUAAUUGAAUAAUUGAUCCAUAUAAAUGAUUAAAAGAAUAAAUUACCUUAGGGAUAACAGCGUAAUCUUUUUAAUAGUUCUUAUUGAAAAAAAGGUUUGCGACCUCGAUGUUGGAUUAAAAUUUAUUUUUGGUGUAGAAGCUAAAAUAUUAGGUCUGUUCGACCUUUAAAAUUUUACAUGAUCUGAGUUU